RNAcentral lists this ribosomal RNA (415 nucleotides) under uncultured bacterium. Its description in RNAcentral is "bacterial SSU rRNA". It matches the Rfam family "Bacterial small subunit ribosomal RNA", at positions 355 to 767 of the family's 1533-position model. The record is from RNAcentral.
UAAGGAAUAUUGGUCAAUGGACGCAAGUCUGAACCAGCCAUGCCGCGUGAAGGAUGAAGGUCCUCUGGAUUGUAAACUUCUUUUAUGUGGGAAGAAAUGCAUUCUUUAUAGAGUGUUUGACGGUACCAUAGGAAUAAGCACCGGCUAACUCCGUGCCAGCAGCCGCGGUAAUACGGAGGGUGCGAGCGUUAUCCGGAUUCACUGGGUUUAAAGGGUGCGUAGGUGGGUUUGUAAGUCAGUGGUGAAAUCUCCGUGCUUAACAUGGAAACUGCCAUUGAUACUAUAGAUCUUGAAUUUUCCGGAGGUUAGCGGAAUAUGUCAUGUAGCGGUGAAAUGCUUAGAUAUGACAUAGAACACCGAUUGCGAAGGCAGCUAACUACAGGGAUAUUGACACUGAGGCACGAAAGCGUGGGGA